This 73-nucleotide transfer RNA is filed under the name Bos taurus (domestic cattle). It matches the Rfam family "tRNA". Rfam says of the family: Transfer RNA (tRNA) molecules are approximately 80 nucleotides in length. Lineage: Eukaryota; Metazoa; Chordata; Mammalia; Artiodactyla; Bovidae. The record is from Rfam by way of RNAcentral. RNAcentral also lists the same sequence under 1 other name.
UCCCUGGUGGUCCAGUUUUUAAGACACUGCACUUCCAUUGCAGGGGUCACGGGUUUGAUUCUUGGUCAGGGAA